This 15203-nucleotide long non-coding RNA is filed under the name Podarcis lilfordi (Lilford's wall lizard). The record is from RNAcentral. Lineage: Eukaryota; Metazoa; Chordata; Lepidosauria; Squamata; Lacertidae.
AGACCGAAUGCGUAGGAGCCGCAGCCUCCUUGAGAGGUUUUUUUGUUGUUUUUUUAGGGGCGGGGCGAGCGCGCGAGGUCGGUGUGUCUGUUGACAGGUGGCAGUUGGCCCUGCUGAGAAAAGGAGUCGGAAAGCCAGGAAACUGAGUGCAAAAGGGGAGCAGGGAGGAAGCUUGGCGGGUGCCCUGAUGAACAGGCAGGCUUCCCCCCUCAAUGAGGAAAGGUGAGGCAACUGGAUCCACAGGGGCAGCAGGUCCUGAUGUAGAUCACAAAUGGACCAUUAGUCUCAUCUAGCAGUGUUUGUUUUCACUGUCAGCUGCUCUCCAGUUUGUUGUUGUUGAAUUUGUAUACGGCUGUUCGUCCGAAGAUCACAAGGUGGUUCCCAUAAAAAAGAAGACAAAAUGAUAAGACAAAAUACUUAACAAAACAUAAACCAAUAACCAGGAGUCUUUUACUAGCCAUACCUGGAGAUGCCAAGAAUCUGAACCUAGGAACUUCUCUGUGCAAAGCAGGUGCUUUACCACUGAGAUAUGGAUCUUCCCUCAAUAUAAUGACCGGGAUCCUGAGUUAGGAACCUGCCUUAUAUCAAGUCAAACAAUUGCUCCAUAUAAGCUCAGUACUGUAUUGUCAACACUGUCUGGCAAUAGUUCCCCAGGGAUUGAGGCUGGGACCUUUUGCAUGCAAAGCAUGGCCUCCAUCACUGAGCUGCAGCCCUUCCCAAUAACACAACUUCUUGUUGUGUUAGGCCAGUGAUGGCAAACCUUUUAGAGACCAAGUGCCCAAACUGCAACCCAAAACCCACUUAUUUAUUGCAAAGUGCCAACCCGGCAAUUUAACCUGAAUACUGAGGUUUUAGUUUAGAAAAAACAACUCAUACAUUAACAUCUUUAGUCUUAAAAGAAAAACACAAUAACAGAGCUUUCAACUGCUCACAAGCAUAUGAUCCAAACAAAGUGAGGAAAGCAAUCCCAAGUGCUUCCUUGACUUAAAAUUAUUUGGCAGAGAAUUCCACACUUUAAGGAUUCAUUUUAACAAGAUCUCUGCGUCAACCGUGCAGAUGGCAAUUCCCUGCUUUUAAGCUCCAGCCCGAGCAAGCAAGCGGUCUCAGCGUGGCCCUCUGAGCAUGUGCAGAGCAGUGCCCCCCCAUCAAGCCGCCAUUUCCUGAAAGGGUCCCAGGGGCUGCCCCAUGUGCUAGCCCUGCUCCCUCACCCGGCCCCGGCCGGCCCCUACGCUGGGUGUUCAGCGUGGCCCCGGGCACGCCCUCACCCGCUGCCCUUGGCUGUGGUUGAGCUCAGUGAAGAAGUACACCAGCAAGUGGGAGGUGAUAAUAGUGCAGCAAGGCCGGUGGGGCCUGGAGGCUCGGUGCCGGAUAAGGGGUGACGAGGAUGAGGCGGAGGUGGCCCUGCCUGGCUAUCCAGCACUGGAACAAAGUGGCUUCUUGAGGCUCGCCAGCAAUGCCAUCCUCCCCUGCCGGCUCCUGCAUGACGCACCCUACCUGACAUCUCCCAUUGGGCAUUGGAGGAGGAGGAAGGCGGCUGCUCAGCUGCCCAGUUUGAGCUGACAGGCCACCCUCGCCUUCUGCUGGCUCUGUGCUGGGGCGAUGGCACGCGUGCCCACAGAGAGGGCUCUGAGUGCCCCCUCUGGCACUUGUGCCAUAGGUUCGCCACCACUGUGUUAGGCUAUACAGUCCAGUACAUGGGCUUGAUGGGAACCAAGGAUUAGCCCACAGACCAGAGUCUUUAUAAUUUGAAGUAGAAGAUCUACAGUUGCAAUUAUUCCAGAUUGAGCCCCAGUUCCUUUUACACACCUGUGAUCCAUACUGCUGUAUGUAGUCACUCAAGUAGUCCCAGCCAACACACCUUUCCACAUCAGGGCUCCACUUUCAGUCUUGGGCUGUGUACACACCAUACAUUUAAAACAUAUUCUCCCUGUGCCCUCCCCCAAAGAAAAAUGAUGGAAACUGUAGUGUGUUGAGGCUGCUGGUAGUUCUAGCUCUGUAAAGGGUACAGUCCCUAGGUUUCUUUCAGAGAAAAUGUUCUUUAGGAUUUCUGUCUAAUAUUGCUUCCAGGUAACCUAUUUAUGGAGAUUCACCCUGAUUUGUGUGCGGGGAGAUUAGACAACAUCAACUACUUGCUGAACAAUCUGAUGUUAUACAGGUUAUAUACUACAUUGUGUCAAACAACUGUUAUCCUAUAUUUUAUAAUGCCUAUACACAUCACUUACGGAAAAAGUCUAAUCUAUGCGGGAAGCAGGUUUCUUGCCCAAUGAACUUUAAUAAUGCAGCCUGAACUUUUUAUUAAUAUUUUAUUGAAAUAAUUUCAGUUACAAAAGAUAAAGUAAGUGAUGAAAGAAAAAAGAGGGAGAAAGAAAAAGUGCAAAAAAUUCAAUAAGAAAAAAAGAUAUAGUGUAAUAUGGUAAACAUAAUUAGUUACAUUUCCAUACAUUAUUAGAUAGAUAUAAAUUACAGUUUCAGAAGUCCAUUCGACUUCCAAAAUGUUUGGAAACCAAAGUGUGCCUUCUGAUUGGCUGCAGGAAGCUCUUGCCAUCCAUUGGAACUGUGCUUGACAUUUGGCUUCCAAAAAUCCUUCAAAACCGGAACACUCACUUCCGGGUUUCAAUGGUUUGGGAGCCAAGGAGUUUGAGAUCCAAGAUACAACUGUAUUGUCAAAAUAUAUAUAACCUAUUAUAUUUUGUAUAAACUCAUUCCAAAUGUCAGUAUAUUUAUCCAAACAAAGUCUACAUCUAUAAGCAAUCCAUAUGUUGCAAGUGUUGUCAUAUCAUCAAUAUAGUGGUACCUCAGGUUACAUACGCUUCAGGUUACAGACUCCGCUAACCCAGAAAUAUUACCUCGGGUUAAGAACUUUGCUUCAGGAUGAGAACAGAAAUUGUGCAGUGGCAGCGCGGCGGCAGUGGGAGGCCCCAUUAGCUAAAGUGGUGCUUCAUGUUAAGAACAGUUUCAGGUUAAGAACAGAUUCAGUUCUUAACCUGAGAUACCACUGUACACUGAUUAAAAGAGAUGAUAUAUAUUCCUGUGGGUUAAACCACAGAGCCUAGGACUUGCUGAUCAGAAGGUCGGCAGUUUGAAUCCCCGUGACGGGGUGAGCUCCUGUUGCUCGGUCCCUGCUCCUGCCAAGCUAGCAGUUCGAAAGCAUGUCAAAGUGCAAGUAGAUAAAUAGGUACCGCUCCAGCAGGAAGGUGAACGGCGUUUCCAUGUGCUGCUCUGGUUCGCCGGAAGCGGCUUAGUCAUGCUGGCCACAUGACCUGGAAGCUGUACGCUGGCUCCCUUGGCCAAUAAAGCAAGAUGAGCGCCACAACCCCAGAGUCAGUCACGACUGGACCUAACGGUCAGGGGUCCCUUUACCUUUAUAUAUUCUUCCAGUUCAUCAAUGCCAGUCACUUAGCCACAGUUAGGGCACAUAGAAUCUAUUUUCGUUGUCUGCUUCCAAACGAUAGGUAUAUGGUUCAAAAGUAUGUUUUCCUCUGAAAAUUUUAAGUUUUUCCAAAUACAGUGGUACCUCGGGUUAAGAACUUAAUUCGUUCUGGAGGUCCAUUCUUAACCUGAAACUGUUCUUAACCUGAGGUACCACUUUAGCUAAUGGGGCCUCCUGCUGCUGCCGCGCCGCUGGAGCAUGAUUUCUGUUCUCAUCCUGAAGCAAAGUUCUUAACCUGAGGUACUAUUUCUGGGUUAGCGGAAUCUGUAACCUGAAGCGUCUGUAACCUGAAGUGUUUGUAACCAGAGGUACCACUGUAAUAAUAUUUAUACAGUCCAGCACUUUCUCUCAAUACCUAUUGAGUAUAGAGCGCUGCAGGAACAUAUGUUUCAAAGAGGCAUUAUGCUUAUUACAUCUCCAGCAAAGCGUUGGAGGACUACAUUGGAUAGUCCUUUUUAUACAAACUUAGUGGAGGCCAAUAAAUUUUGAAUAUUAUUUUCUGUUGUAUAAGUUGUCAUAUAAGAUCCAUCAAUACAAAUGGUAUUGAGGCUUUCAUUACUGUCUAGGUAAUAAUGAAAGGUCCAGUUCUUUAUCUCAGUCAUUUCUUAGAAUCUGGGUGUCAAACUUAUUUGCUAACAACAGAUAUCUAAAGAAAGUAGUUGCUGGUUUUUCAAGUUCAAAAAAUGUAUCCGAUUAUUUCAGUAUCUCCAGUGUCUCAAAAGCUGGAAAGGUUACCAGUCCAAACAAAGCUUAAAAAAGCUUAAAAAACAACAAUAACCCCAUAAUGGGUAAAGAAGAAUGUUUUAAAAAUGGGAAUAGGAUUUGACAAAAUUUAUCUGGCAAGCUGCGGAUUAAAUACAAAUUACUAACAGACAUGAAGGAGCGGGGGGGCGGGGAGGGUUGGGCUUCCAGACCUGAGAAUAUAUUAUGAUGCCGCAUUCUUUAGCUGGAUUAAGGACAUUCUAGACUUAGAGGGCUGGAAUAAUAGAUAUGGCCGGUGUGCCUAUCUAAUUUACAAUAAAGUGGUGGUACAUAAAGAAUUUCUAAGACAUAUAAAUAGGAAAUCUCUGUGCAAGGUCUGGGUGAGACAUCAUAGGCUGUUAGAACCAAAAACCCCAUAGUGGGUAUCACCAUUAGAAGUAAACACGGCAGGUAGACUUGCCACAUAUCAGCAACUUCUAAAAGAGGAACAGGGUCAAUUAAAAUUAAGAUCGUAUGAGGAGGCGAACCAAUACUGCACCACAUGGUUACAAUAUCAUCAAAUUGCCCAAAUAUUUAAUCAGGAUAAAAUAACAGGUGCACAAUGUCAUUUCUUUUCUCUGCACUCCUCCCAGCGGUUAUUUUUCUUCUGGUCACUGCUAGGGAUACAUGACUUGACUGCCUGUCUCCAGGCACUGCAGUUGUCUGUAAGAGAUUCCCACACAGCAAGGUUGAUGUUGCCAGCCUUCAGGUCACAUUUGCAGAUAUCUUUGUAAUGCAGAAUUGGUCUGCUAAUUGGCCUGGUACCAGAAGCCAGCUUCCCGUAAAUAUUCCAUGGGAAUCUUGCCAUCUUCCAUUCUGUGGACGUGACCAAGCUAGUGUAGAUGUCACUGAGACACAAGUGCAAACAAUCUUGGAAUGCAAGCUUGAGAGAGCACAUCUUUGUCUGGAAUUCUGUCCUGCCAUGUGAUACCCCAAAUCCUCCUGACGUAGUGCCUGUGGAAGGCAUUGAGGCAUAGCUUCUGGCGGUUGUAAGUUGCCCACAACUCACUUCCAUAAAGCAGUGUGCUCAACACACAAGCCUGGUAGACCUUCAACGUGGUAUUACCCAAAUGCUCCACAGAGUAGCGAUAUGGGGCAUGGAUCCAAAUGCUAACAAAGCCUUAGAAAUAGUGCAGAACAAGUUAAUGGACUAUGCAGAAGUAGAUAAACUAACAGGAAGGAUUCGAAACCGGUGGGACCAUAAAUUCACGGAAGACUGGAGUAAAUUUAUGGACUACUUGAAAAGUAUUUGUGAAGAUCAGACAACAUUUGUAGGUUUGCAAGAAGUUUUGUGAGGAGUAUUAUUGGAAGUAUUGCAAAAAUGGAGAAGGGGAAGGAUGAUUUGUUAAGAGAUGUAAAGGCAAUAUAAAAUUGAGAAAUGCAUAAGAAGUGGUUAAAAUGGUGGAUCAUCAGAGGUGCUGAUGGAAGUCUAAAAAGAUUGUAUAAGUGAUAAGUUUUGUGGUACAUUUUAUGAUUUAUAUGUUAAAAUCAAUAUAUAUAUAUAUAAGAAACAGUGCAGAACAAAUUCCUCAGGAAAGUGCUUUUGCUCCCCAAUGGGACCCCAGCUGCUCUUCUCCGCGUGGAAGCAGACGUGACAACAAUACAGGCUAGAACUGACUAUCUGUGUCUAAACUAUGUGAAAAGACUCCAAUCUCUCUUUGGAGGAGAGAUUCCCCGCUAUGUCCCACACAGAACAGGAACAGACCAAAUGUUGGAAGGAUGUCAUCCAACCCCUCUUGACCCAAUAUCAAUUACAAGAUCUUCAGAUGAUCAUGAUGAUGGAUAAGAGGCACUUAAGAGAUUGCCUCUUCAGGUCCAAUGCAGAAAGGGAUUUAACCAUGAUUGCCUCUACCAAAAGUUCACCAUGGUUCCGACUUAUCAAAACGGAGCACAUCCGAGCUAGUUAUCUGAAAAAGCUCCCACUUGCCGUACUGAGAAUCGCCUUUACAGAAUUACGAUUCCAAUUGAUGCCCUUGGUGGUGGUGGAUGGUCGGUAUGGCAAAGAACAGUACAAGGAGAGGCUUUGUCUGUGUGGGCAACCUUGCAAAGAGGACCUAAACCACUAUUUAUUGCAAUGCCCACUAUAUAUAGAACCAAGAGACUGAUUUAUAUAAACCCCUGCUUACGAACGGAACACACUCGAACAGGGUGCAAAGGGUGAAAUGGCUGCUGAGUGAUACCGAUGACUUUGUAACUUAUCAAGUAGCACUAUAUGCGUUGGCAGCUAUGAAGAUCAGGAGAAAAGAACUAGAUAAAAUAGUGGUCAAUUGCAAAGGUGAUUCGGACAUUUAAGCUGGCACAUUCUACCUGAGAACCCCCUGCUAUUCUAUUGUAUGCAACAAAUAAUUUCUAGGAGACGUGACAGUGGUUUAUUGUAUUUGCAGUGCCUGAUGUUUUUAUGGUUUUUAUGGUUAUUGUUGCUUUUCUUUUUGUUCCCUUUGUGAAUGAUGCCAUGGCCUUUGGCUAGUGCAAUAAAGUUUAUGAUGAUGGUAUUGGUUGUUAGCAUUCCAUUCUCCCAUACCAUUUUGGAGAAGUGAGUCAUUGCCGUAGCUGCCCUGCCAAUACACUUGUCCAGCUUAGCAUCAAUUGAGAGUUUGUGGUUAUGGUGGACUCCAGGUAGACAAAAUUGUCUACCACUUUGAGCAUGCGGUCACUAAUGCUGAUGCAUGGAGUGCUGGUGACAUCCUGAUCCAAUAUGUUGAUCUUUGUUAGGCUGAUGGUAAGGCUGAACUCCCUGCAGGCUUGGGCAAAACAGCUGAUGAGUCUCUGUAGAGGUUCCUUAGAUUGUGCUAUCAAGGCUAACAGCAUCUCUUGGAUAACGAUUCACCACACUUUUGUCUUGGUGCAAAGACAGACACUUGUCACUCCUUGUACGGAUGUGCACACCACCUUCAGUUGAGCUGAAGGCAUGUGAGAGCAACAGAGAGAAGAAUAUGCCAAAGACUGUUGGUGAGAAUACAGCCCUGUUUCACACUGCUAUCUGUAGGCAAGGCGUCUGAGGAUGAGCCAUCAUAUUGGACAGUGCCACACAUGUUGUCAUGGAAGGACACAAUCAUCCUGUGGCAUCCUAUCUUGGAUAGGAUCCUAGCACUCUAUCUUGUUCAGUGUAUAAUCCUUUUUGGCUGACGAGGUCAAAGGCCUUCGUCAGGUCUAUGAAGGCAAUGUACAAGAGGCAUCUCUGCUCUUGGCAUUUCUCCUGCAGCUGGCGCAGUGAGAAAAUCAUGUCUAUUGUUGACCUCUGAGCUCUAAAGCAGCAUUGUGACUUGAGGUAGACCCUGUCAGCAAGUGCCUGUACUCUAUUGAGAACAUCAAGAGUGAAAGCUUUUCCCACAGUACUCAGCGAGGAGAUCCCACAGUAGUUGUUGCAGUCUUGGUGGUCACCUUUGUUCUUUUAAAGGCUCAUGAUUUUGGAGUCACAUAUGUCUUGUGGCAUGGAUCCUUGUUCUCAACACUGCAAGAGGACACAGUAGGGGUGUGUCAUGUGGGAAGAACUGAAGCUGGCUUUCAGAACUUCUGUUGGGAUUCCUUUCUUUCCUGGGGCUUUACCACGUACCUGAGCAUUGAUGGCAUUCUUCAGCUUGUCAUGGGAUCAUACUCACCAUCAUACUAUUAAUUUCUAGUUAAAUAAUUGGUUGUUUUGUCUUUGAAAGCUGUUGCGUUGCAUCCAGAGGUUUCCACCUUGUUACAGGACACUCUUUCACUUUCUGAAAGCCUAUACCAAGGACACUGGGAAUCAACCACCAAUCAAAGCGACUAUAUUCUUCUGUUUUCUGUCUCCAUGUCAGAACAAUGUUUUAAACAAAUCUAUUACCUUCAGAGAAUGCUUUCCACAUUAAUUUGUCUACUACAGAAACCCUGCAUAUUACUAUGGAUCCUGGGGUAUAUUCUAGGGUGCACACUUCACUAGCAAGGCCUCUUAGGCUUCACAGUUGCCCCAGAGGAAUGGAGAGAGUGUCCAAGAAAACAUCCAAUAGUCCUGUUGUCCUGGAGGGGAAGAUCAGUAGCACUGAGCAAGAGAUCUUUCAAAGAACUUUGGCUGCUAUUAUUGACCUUGGGGAACUCCAGGUUCUUCAGAGAAGAGUUUGAAAGCAUGAGAAAGUCAGAAACUGCAUCAAUUAAUGGUAAUCCAUUUGUAAAAAACAAAAACAAAAACAUUGGGUAAAACCUCAGCGCCUAGGACUUGCCAAUCGCAUGGUCGGCGGUUCGAAUCCCCGCGGCGGGGUGCACUCCCGUUGCUCGGUCCCAGCGCCUGCCAACCUAGCAGUUUGAAAGCACGCCCGGGUGCAAGUAGAUAAAUAGGGACCGCUUACUAGCGGGAAGGUAAGCGGCGUUUCUGUGUGCUGCGCUGGCUCGCCAGAGCAGCUUCGUCACGCUGGCCACAUGACCCGGAAGUGUCUGCGGACAGCGCUGGCUCCCGGCCUCUAGAGUGAGAUGAGCGCACAACCCUAGAGUCUGUCAAGACUGGCCCGUACGGGCAGGGGUACCUUUACCUAUUUGUAAAACAGCCACCUGAAGCUUCAUGGUCAGGGCCCACUUCAAUUCAGAAGCGGGGGGCAGGGUCAUGUCAGAAACAAAGGGGGCCAAAACUUAAAGAAAACUUCAAAAACCUCCCAAUUUAUAAUAAAAAGACUGACAGGUCAACUGACUGUGUUGUUGCUAGCUUUAUCAAACAGCAGGGGUAGGGAACUUGUGGUUCUCCAGAUGUUGUUGGACUUCAUGUCCUAUCAGUCCCAGGCAGCACAGCCCAAUGUUCAACAUCAUCUGAAGGACUUUAGUUCCCCCAACUUUGCCUUAAGGCAGGAAUGUUGAAAGUCCAUUUUGGCAGCCUAAUCCAGCCUGGCCCCCGGGGCAGUAUAUGUCCUGGGGUAAAAUCCCCAAAAAAGUUCAGCAACUUCAAUCCUCAAAAAAGCUCAACAACCUUGGGGUUAAAUCCUUAAAAAAGCUUAACAACUUCAAUCUUAAAAAAAAAAAAAAAAGCUCACAACGGUCAGCCUUCAUCAAAUCUGGCCCUCUUUGAAAAAAGUUUGGACACCCCUGCAGGGCAAGUCUGGCCAAAGGGGAAGGGAGAUAAGAAGACCACCUGAUUUAUAGUCUUGCAAUAAACCUCCAGAACACAGGAGAUUGACAUAUAAUGGGUCCAGCCCAGGUAUCGGUUUGCAAAAAUAAAUAAAUACAUGGGAGGGUCAAACAUUAGUUCUAUAUUAGGCAUCAGCAACUGUAAGACACAAAUUUGACCAAGUUGUAGUUGGACCCCAGAACUAAUAACCCACUGGCAAGAGUACUUAGAAGUCUGGAAUGAGGUUCCAGCAAUCCCCUGGGUAGGAAGGAUGGAAGAAGCUGGGCCUACCACCAAAUCACCCCUUCUUCAAAAUUGCCAUCUCAAUAAAUUAGCUGUUAAUCAAGUUGUCCUAACCUAAAAUAGGCACACCAAAAUUCUGUGUCAUUUAUAAACUAAACACCUCAGAUGCUGACAGAGCUGGACCUGAAUCUGAACACAUCCUUGCCUCAGAAAACUCAGUUAGUACCUCUCCCAUUUUAGCAACCAGUUUAAAGGCUCUUUAUUAUGUUAUGAGAACAGUGUUAUGAGAGUAAUCACAUUUCUUUCAAAACUGCUUAGCACAUAAAAAUGGUGCCUACAGUUGAUGUGUGUUUGCUAAAGAACAGGAAAUGGUUUAAAAGGUGAUAAAGCUCAGUUCACCAGUCAUUGCAGGGGGUAAAGGGACCCCUGACCAUUAGGUCCAGUCGCAGACGACUCUGGGGUUGAGGUGCUCAACUCGCUUUAUUGGCCGAGGGAGCCGGCGUACAGCUUCUGGGUCAUGUAGCCAGCAUGACUAAGCCACUUCUGGCAAACCAGAGCAGCACACUGAAAUGCUGUUUACCUUCCCGCCGGAGCGGUACCUGUUUAUCUACUUGCACUUUGUGCUUUUGAACUGCUAGGUGGGAAGCAGAGACCGAGCAACGGGAGCUCACCCCGUCGCGGGGAUUUGAACCGCCGACCUUCUGAUCGGCAAGCCCUAGGCUCUGGCUCUGUGGUUUAACCCACAGCACCUCCUGUGUCCCUUUUAUUGCAGGGGGUAGCUGUGGCUAAAAGGAGAGAUAGUAUGCUACUGAUUUUGAGUAUUCGCAUUCGUCUUGCGAGGUACCACUGUAGAUAAAUAGGUACUGCUGUGGCAGGAAGGUAAACUGUGUUUCCAUGUUCUCUGGUUUCCGUUAUGGUGUCCCGUUACGCCAUAAGCGAUUUAGUCAUGCUGGUCACAUGACCUUGAAAUUUGUCUGUGGAAAAAUGGCAGCUCCCUUGACCUGAAAGCAAGAUGAGCACUGCACCCCAUAGUCAUCUUUGACUGGACUUAACCGUCCAGGGGUCCUUUACCUUUACCCUCUGGCAUAUAAUUGAGUUAUAAAGUGAAACAAACUGCAUUAGGGGUUGUCGUUUUUUUAAGUUUAACCUUACUUUGAUUUUCUCAGCUUCUGACUAUGGCCUAUUCCCAUUUUCAAAAUGGCGCUCAGCAUCUCUAUAAAUCUGUCACAAUCAUACUAAGGUACAGAUUACAGGUUCCUGAUGUACACUUCAAUGUCACUGGACUAAAAUGAAAUAAUUCCUUAGAAAGGUCUUUCUGCACCCUCUAGUGGUAAGGAAAAAACACAGUUCAAUUGAUGAACCAUCUUCUCUUGGGUCUGUUCAGGUGCAGUAUUUCAAGGGAACGGGAUGGGCACUGAGCUUGAUUUUCAUGCUCAAAUACAUGUAUAAAUAUUAAGUAUUCCUGAACCACAGCUGCAUUAGUUUGUUGCUGCUAUAUUUGGUUUGAGGCUUGUUGAAAUACAUUUUUUUCACUGGAGCCAAGCAUCCACCCAUUUGCUACAGGAAUAGCUUUCAACACAUCAUACCCACCCUCACUGAGCAACACAGCUCUAGGAAGGCCACAUUUGAGGUUACCUAGCCCUGGACAAAUUUUGGGUUUUACACUUUGAAGUAGACAGACGUUGAUGAAGUUAUGCAUGCAUGGUAAAGAGAAAAAGUACCAUUGUACUGAAGGGUAGCAUCACUGGGUUGGGCUUACCUGCGCCUCUGGUGAAUGAAGGCAGGAGUAGUUUUUACAAGGAAUAGGUUGGCCCUUCUACAGUUUUGCAUACUCACUGAGCAUAAACAGUCCAGAACUGAAACUCAAAAUAGUAUUAACAUAUUUCCGACAACAAUCCUUUAACUCAAAGCCAACCAUGCAAACAGAGGUGGGAAGAGGUGUUGUGGGGUGGCCAACUCUCAAGAAACUGCAAUCUACUUUCAGAAUUAAAAACUGGCAGUGAUCUACCCCCUUUUUGGGGGGUUCAGCUCAAAGCUUUUGAGCUUUUUUUAGGGAGGAGAAAAGCCCCGUUUUUAGGGGUUAAAAAUGCUUUUUUGGGGGGGAGAAGUCCCGUUGGGGGGGUUAAAGGCAAGGGACGAAGGGGUAAAGUCCCUCACAAAAAAGAUCGCUAUGGAUCAAAACAGCAGCACAGAGAAAGCUCUGUCUUCCCUUCCGGAGCUCAUACAACAAUGGAGGGCGGGGUGAGGGGGCGUGGCAGGAGUCAGUUUUAUCAACGCUAAGGAAAGGGAGCCAGAGAUAAACCGCGAUCUACCAAAACCUCGCGGAGAUCUACCAGUAGAUCGUGAUCGACCUGUUGGACAGCCUGUUAAGGGUGUGGCACCAGUGAUGCUAAACUGGACAAGUAAACCUACCCUUCAGGAAGGUGCAAUGCUACAACUUCGCUUGACAGUGCAGCAGGGUUUGGCUUCCAGGUAGCUACCUAGAGGCCAAACUCAUUUGGUCCUCCCCAAUAUUUUCUUUGGGGGGACGCCUCCCCCCAUGGUAGCAGCUGCAAGAGGAGGCUGAGCGCCAGAGAGUUGGAGCUGUUGGUCAUUGAAGCUGCGCUGGCGCUGCAUUCAGCUUUGCCCCUGGCUCUUCCCGAUAUCGCAACGCAACGUUGCGCAUUGUAACACACACGUGGCAUCACCCCCACACCCCCAAUCCUUGGUGCAAGUUGGUGCUUCUGCAGUGUAGCAUCACUGGGUUUGGACGUACAAAAGUUUACCCAACUAGUGUGGGUCCCAGCUACAAGUUUUUAUUGUCGGAAAGCUUUCUAUAAGGGAUUCAUCUUAUAGUGCCUAUUGAAUGUGCUGGGGGAUGGCCCGGUCACUACUCUGCAUAUUUCUAAGGAGGCAUUUGUAGAAAAAGCAGCUGAAGUUGUGGCUGCUCUCAUGGAAUGGGCAGUCAGAUGUUUGGGAAGAGGCAGUUUCUGUGCCUCAUAGGACACACCCUUAAGCUUCUGGAAAGAGUAGUUGGUGUUACCCUCUGCCUCACGGAGGAGGGAUAAAAUGGGACAAAGAGAAGUUUGUUGUACGUCCUUUAUACAGGCAAUAUAUACUGUUACAAAAGUUGGGCACCACCCCCACACUCUGCCAAUCGGUAGCAAGUUUCCAGGGGAUCCAGGUGCUCAACCAGAGUUUGUUCUCCUUUGGAGAAUUGAAGAUGUGGUGGAGACUGUCAUAGCUUUAAGAAAUAUGAUUUAUUCACAUAUUUACACCUGCAGUCUGCUGGAGGGAGUCGAAAUCUUACCGCAUAGUAAUUUCAAGAGGGGCUUUUCCCCACAGCAGUGCAGCACUAAAGGCAUCUUUCCCAGGGAGAAUGCUGAAGGAUGGAUCUCCCCUUCUCUUCCCAGCAUACUAAAGAUCCUUUUCCUGUGACCUCUCUCUCAUACACCAUCACCUUGGCAAUCUCUCUUCACUCAGGCCCAAGAUUCCUCUUGGAUGCUCCAUCCACACCUUUUGUCAUGUUAACACCUCUGCUUGGCCAGGCUGGUUUGCAUAAGCCAGUCCAGGGAUUCCUCGUCUGACCCAGUCCUGCAGGCAUGUAAUUUCAUUCAUAUCCAAAAUAAUCAAAAUCCCACCAUUUUCUAAUUUCUAGGGUUAGGGGGUUCCCCCCCCCCAAACUCAAAAGCUUCAGAGACCAGCGACCAUUGUGUGAUGUCUUUGGGCAGAAGGUGGACAAGAUUACUUCUUGCUGAAGGUAGAACUUUGACAGCACAUUGGCAAGGAAAUUGGGAUCCAAUCGGUGAAUCACUAUGUCGCUAUGGAAGAUAGAGAUGCUUUACCACUAAAGGGCACUGAUUUCGGAGACUCUGUGGGCUGCACCAUUCUUCUCUUUCGGUGAAGAAAACUAUUCUUUUGUCUUUAGAUCCAGUAAGGAUUUAUUUGAGUGCUUCUUCCUCAAAGAGCAUCGAUCCAUGGAAAGAUACUGGAGUGUCUGCUUCCCACCGUUACUUGUAGGCUUGCCGUAUGUCCGGUUUUUCCCCGGACACACCCAGCAAAUUGUUCCACAUUUUUUUCGGGGGGGGGGCAGAUUUUUAUAAUUUCCCAAAAUGUCCAGGUUUUUUGCUGGGUCAAGCCUUGUAGGUGGUGGCGGCGGCGGGGCGCUAGAACCCAGCGGCAAGGCGCCGCAGUCUCUGCUCUGCUCUGCUAUUCUCAUUGCUCUUUCCCUUCGACCCUGAAAGCGGAAUAAGGAGGGCGAAUAUCGUCACCGCGACUUCUGAUUGGCUGCUCGACUGUGGGGAGCACUUGGGUCUCUUUUCUCGCGCCAGUUUCAAGCGCUUGGGCGGGAGAGCGUGAAGAUGCGGACCGGGUUUGGAGGUGCUGCAGCCGGUAGUCCGCUCCCUCCCGCCUUGCUCCGCCAUGGAUUUGAGUGACAGCCCGCGCGACGGGGCUGGUGGUGGUUGCCAUGGAGGUUAGAGAGGCGCUGUCGUUAGGUCUGGUCUGGUCUGGUCGGGUCGGGUUGGGAUGGGGUGGGAGUAAGGGGGCUGCUGGCAAAAGGGGGAAGGCACUGUGUGGCCAGGUAAGUAGGGAAUCUCGGAGAGCAGACGCUCCAGCAUGGAGGGGAGAAGACAGCUGCAGCAGUGUGUGGUUAUUUGCAAAACCCGUUGGGGUGCGCGCGUGCGUGCUGGGGAGAUUGUGAAUCCUCGUGCGGGAAAGGGAGGUAAAGAUCAGGAGGGAGGGGGACGGAGAGUUAGGCAGCCACCUCUCGGCACCCGAUCGAAGCCCCCCAGGACAAAAUCAAUAGCAGCCUCUCUCUCUGGCUUCCUCUGCGCCUUUCCCCAGCGCGCCUCCUCAGCAUCCCUCCUCUCACGCUCUCUUUUUCCAGGCAACGAUCCCUCCCCACCCCGCACAACCACCCUUCUCUCCCCUUUUGGGGGCGCCCUCCAUAAAAUAAGGCUGUCUUUGGCUCAGGGAGACCCUCCUUUUCUCUAACUGGGAGUUAUUGAUUUACCCACAUCUCUGCUGCGCUUCCCGACGUUUUCCCCCUGACGAUUUCUGUUCGCUCCCCCCCUCUCCUUUUCUCUGCUGUUUCAUUCCCCCCGCCCCCCGCCGCCUCUCGCCAUUGCGUAGCUUUUUCAGUCCUUUGCCUUCUGCCUCCUGUCUGGACGCCCCCCCCCCCAGCACUCCUCUCGCCUCUUCCUUCCCUUCCCUCUCUCCUGGUGAGAUCCCUCUUCCAUUCUCUGCCUUUUCUCUGCUUUCCCUCCUCCCACCGAGGUCUUCCCCCAUCCCCCACCACCACGGGCUGCGUCCCUUUCUCCCCCCUCCCUCCAAAUAGUGUUCGACCCCCUACCCUACACUGCCCAGCCUCUGCCUAAUGACUUGCUGUGAAAGCCUCAUCCAGGGUCUUUCCAUCUCUUUAAACCUCUCCCUGCUCAUCCCAUCUUGUUUUAGGGCCAUAGCUCAGUGGCAGAGUAUCUGCUCUGAAUGCAAGCCCCCAUCUCCAGGUGGGGCUGGGAAAAGGGCUCCUGUCUGAAACCCUGGACAGCUGCAGCCGGUCAGUGUAGACAAUACUGACCUAGAAGGUGGCAAAUGUGUCCUCUUUUUUUGCCUUUUAGAAUAUGGCAACCCUAUUAUAGGGACCAAUUCUGACUUUGCCAAAUUAACAGAAUAUCCAGAAAUUUGACCAAAUGUAUUUAUUGUUUGCAUCAGUGUUGGAAUAGUAGUAUGAGGUUUCGUAAUAAGUAAGAGUAU